This 4544-nucleotide ribosomal RNA is filed under the name Ureaplasma gallorale. Its description in RNAcentral is "bacterial LSU rRNA". The stretch from base 1783 to 4544 matches the Rfam family "Bacterial large subunit ribosomal RNA". Lineage: Bacteria; Bacillati; Mycoplasmatota; Mycoplasmoidales; Mycoplasmoidaceae. The record is from RNAcentral.
GGAUUAACGCUGGCGGCAUGCCUAAUACAUGCAAAUCGAACGAAGCCUUUAUGGCUUAGUGGUGAACGGGUGAGUAACACGUAUCCAAUCUACCCUUAAGUUGGGGAUAACUAAUCGAAAGAUUAGCUAAUACCGAAUAAUAACAUCAUUAUCGUAUGAGAAGAUGUAGAAAGUUGCGUUUGCAACGCUUUUGGAUGAGGGUGCGACGUAUCAGAUAGUUGGUGAGGUAACGGCUCACCAAGUCAAUGACGCGUAGCUGUACUGAGAGGUAGAACAGCCACAAUGGGACUGAGACACGGCCCAUACUCCUACGGGAGGCAGCAGUAGGGAAUUUUUCACAAUGGGCGAAAGCCUUAUGAAGCAAUGCCGCGUGAACGAUGAAGGUCUUAUAGAUUGUAAAGUUCUUUUAUAUGGGAAGAAUGCUAAGAUAGUAAAUGAUUAUUAGUUUGACUGUACCAUUUGAAUAAGUAUCGGCUAACUAUGUGCCAGCAGCCGCGGUAAUACAUAGGAUGCAAGCGUUAUCCGGAUUUACUGGGCGUAAAACGAGCGCAGGCGGAUUUGUAAGUUUGGUAUGAAAUCUAGAUGCUUAACGUCUAGCUGUAUCAAAAACUACAAAUCUAGAGUGUAGUAGAGAGUUGGGGAACUCCAUGUGGAGCGGUAAAAUGCGUAGAUAUAUGGAAGAACACCGGUGGCGAAGGCGCCAACUUGGACUAUCACUGACGCUUAGGCUCGAAAGUGUGGGGAGCAAAUAGGAUUAGAUACCCUAGUAGUCCACACCGUAAACGAUGAUCAUUAAAUGUCGGCUCGAAUGAGUCGGUGUUGUAGCUAACGCAUUAAAUGAUCUGCCUGGGUAGUACAUUCGCAAGAAUGAAACUCAAACGGAAUUGACGGGGACCCGCACAAGUGGUGGAGCAUGUUGCUUAAUUUGACAAUACACGUAGAACCUUACCUAGGUUUGACAUCUAUUGCAAUGCUAUAGAAAUAUAGCGGAGGUUAACAAUAUGACAGGUGGUGCAUGGUUGUCGUCAGCUCGUGUCGUGAGAUGUUGGGUUAAGUCCCGCAACGAGCGCAACCCCUUUCGUUAGUUACUUUAUCUAGCGAUACUGCUACCGCAAGGUAGAGGAAGGUGGGGAUGACGUCAAAUCAUCAUGCCCCUUAUAUCUAGGGCUGCAAACGUGCUACAAUGGCUAAUACAAAUUGCUGCAAUACCGUAAGGUGGAGCGAAUCAAAAAAGUUAGUCUCAGUUCGGAUAGAGGGCUGCAAUUCGUCCUCUUGAAGUUGGAAUCACUAGUAAUCGCGAAUCAGACAUGUCGCGGUGAAUACGUUCUCGGGUCUUGUACACACCGCCCGUCAAACUAUGGGAGCUGGUAAUAUCUAAAACCGCAACGCUAACCGUAAGGAGGCAUGCGUCUAGGGUAGGAUCGGUGACUGGAGUUAAGUCGUAACAAGGUAUCCCUACGAGAACGUGGGGAUGGAUCACCUCCUUUCUUCGGAGUAAAUUAUUUAAUUUACGUACUAUAAACAAGUGUACAUUUUUAAYAAAAUCCAUAUGAUAAUAUGCCACGUUAUUAUUUUUAUUUUAUUUAAACAUUCAUAUGGUCGGAUUCUAUUUAGUUUUGAGAGARUAUUCUCUCCCCAAUAAGYAAUUAUUGUGGAUGAUCGAUUUUUGAAAACUGAAUAUUAUCAUCAAAUCUUUCUAAUCAUUGAUAUUAAGUUAUCAAUGAAGAAAACUAUAUUUAAUAUAGUUAACAAUCAUAUAAAACAAUAACUUAAGGAAAUUUAUAAUAAGUUACUAAGAGCUUAUGGUGAAUGCCUUGGGACAAACAGGCGAUGAAGGACGUGCUAAUCUGCGAUAAGCAACGGGUAGCUGAUAAGAAGCGUUUAUCCGUUGAUCUCCGAAUGAGGAAACUCAAUAUAACGAGAGUUAUAUUAUUAUUAAGUGAAUUCAUAGCUUAAUAAAGCGAUACCUGGUGAAGUGAAACAUCUCAGUAGCCAGAGGAAAAGAAAACGAAGUGAUUCCCUCAGUAGCGGCGAGCGAAAGGGGAACAGGCCAAACCGAAUUUUUGAUUCGGGGUUGUAGGACUACAAUAUAGACUAAACAAGGAUAGUGGAAUUGGUUGGAAAGCCAAAUCAUAGAGGGUGAAAAUCCCGUACGCGAAAUCUUUGUUUUACUUAGUAGGAUCCUGAGUAGGGCGGGACACGUGAAAUCCUGUCUGAAUCCACCCAGACCAUUGGGUAAGCCUAAAUACUAGUUUGUCACCGAUAGCGCAUAGUACCGUGAGGGAACGGUGAAAAGAACCCAGAGAUGGGAGUGAAAUAGAACCUGAAACCAUAAGCUUACAAGGUGUUAGAGCACAUUAAUGUGUGAUAGCGUGCCUUUUGAAGUAUGAGCCAGCGAGUUAUUGUAGCAUGCGAGGUUAAAUCGUAGAGAUGGAGCCGCAGGGAAACCGAGUCUUAAUAGGGCGUUUUCAGUAUGUUGCAAUAGACGCGAAACGGGGUGAUCUAUCCAUGGGCAGGUUGAAAGUGAAGUAACAUUUACUGGAGGACCGAACCCACUUUCGUUGAAACGACAGGGGAUGACCUGUGGAUAGCGGUGAAAUUCCAAUCGAACUCCGUGAUAGCUCGUUCUCGCCGAAAUAUUUUUAGGAAUAGCGUUGGAUUAUUGGGAAUAUGGGGGUAAAGCACUGAAUCUAUGAUGGCGCCACCUCGGUGUACUGAAUAGAAUCAAACUCUGAAUACCAUAUUACCUAUUCCAGCAGUCAGACAGUGGGGGAUAAGCUUCAUUGUCGCGAGGGAAACAGCCCAGAUCAUUAAUUAAGGUCCCAAAUAUAUGCUAAGUGGAAAACGAUGUUGAGUUUCUUAAACAGCAAGGAUGUUGGCUUAGAAGCAGCCACCGUUUAAAGAGUGCGUAACAGCUCACUUGUCGAGAGACUCUGCGCGGAAGAUGUAACGGGGCUAAGCAUAUAACCGAAAUUAUGGAUUACAUUUAUGUAAUGGUAGGCGAGUGUUGUAUAUGGGUCGAAGGUAGACUGUGAAGACUAUUGGACUGUAUACAAGCAAGAAUGCUGGCGUGAGUAACGAAUGAGAGUGAGAAUCUCUCAAACCGAUUGACUAAGGUUUCCUGGGCAAGGGUCGUCCUCCCAGGGUGAGUCGGAUCCUAAGGCGAGGCUGAAAAGCGUAGUCGAUGGAAAACAGGUUAAUAUUCCUGUACCUACGUGUUGUGUGAUGGAGUGACGGAGAAGGUUAAUAUGUGCCGGUUAUUGGAUUCCGGUUUAAAUAUUUAGGCUUGCAAGUUGGCAAAUCCGCUUGCUUUAAGGCUAAGAUAUGAAUACGAGCGAACCCCUCGGGUAGUAGCGAAGACAUAUACAUCAUGCUUCCAAGAAAAGCUUCUAGCGUUAAACAACAAGUAGUCCGUACCGAGAACGAACACACGUGGUCAAGGAGAAUAUCCUAAGGUUAGCGAGUUAACUACAGUUAAGGAACUCUGCAAAUUAAUCCCGUACGUUCGCAAUAAGGGAUGCUCAUUGUAAAAGGUGAGCCGCAGUGAAUAGCGAGGGGGGACUGUUUAACAAAAACACAGCUCUAUGCUAAGUCGUAAGACGAUGUAUAUGGGGUGACACCUGCCCAAUGCUGUAAGGUUAAAGAAGAAUGUUAGCGUAAGCGAAGCUUUUGACUGAAGCCCCAGUGAAUGGCGGCCGUAACUAUAACGGUCCUAAGGUAGCGAAAUUCCUUGUCGGGUAAAUUCCGUCCCGCUUGAAUGGUGUAACCAUCUCUUGACUGUCUCAACUGUAGACUCGGUGAAAUCCUGGUGAGGGUGAAGACGCCCUCUUGGCGUGAUUGGACGGAAAGACCCCAUGAAGCUUUACUGUAGCUUAAUAUUGGGAAAUUUUAUCGCUUGUAGAGCAUAGGUAGGAGACUAUGAAAUAUACUCGCUAGGGUAUAUGGAGUCGCCGUUGGAAUACUACCCUUGCUAUAAGAUUUCUCUAACCUGCAGCCAUGAAUCUGGCUGGGGGACAGUGUUAGGUGGGCAGUUUGACUGGGGCGGUCGCCUCCCAAAAGGUAACGGAGGCGCGCAACGGUACCCUCAGCACGGUUGGAAAUCGUGUAUAGAGUGUAAUGGUAUAAGGGUGCUUGACUGUGAGACUUACAAGUCGAACAGGUAGGAAACUAGGUCAUAGUGAUCCGGUGGCUCAGAAUGGAAUGGCCAUCGCUCAACGGAUAAAAGCUACUCUGGGGAUAACAGGCUGAUAGUGCCCAAGAGUUCAUAUCGACGGCACUGUUUGGCACCUCGAUGUCGACUCAUCUCAUCCUGGAGCUGAAGCAGGUUCCAAGGGUUCGGCUGUUCGCCGAUUAAAGAGAUACGUGAGUUGGGUUCAAACCGUCGUGAGACAGGUUGGUCCCUAUCUGUCAUGCCCGUAGGAAGAUUGAGAAGAGCUGUUCCUAGUACGAGAGGACCGGAAUGGACACACCUCUUGUGAUCCUGUUGUCGCGCCAGCGGCACUGCAGGGUAGCAACGUGUGGAAUGGAGAAACGCUGAAAGCAUC